UUUGAGGAUAAUGCACUCAUAGAAAGUAAGUCACUUUAACUUGUUGGUAUCAUCCAAAGGUAACUAGAAAUAGUAUGUUUGGUUUGGUAGGACUUUCUAACUGUAUGUUGUUCUUUUUCCUUUUUCAAAUACUUCCCAUAAAGGUCAAUGUCACUCUUUUAUGCUUAUAACAUCAUGUGUUGUUAUAAUUUUGUAUUUUUGUUUACUCUAAAAUGUUACUCUUUUUAUUUUCCAAGAUUAUUUUGAAGUGAUAACUAACUUGUUCGUCGGAGUGUUUGUAGGAAGUUAUGUACGCUCUUGUCAUGAAUAGAUCAAAAUGAGUCUUGAGGUCAUUACAGGGAGAGCCAGCCGUUGAGGUUACAAAUGAAGGUGUUGAUGCUGCAGGGCAUACAAUUGGUACAUCUUUGGAGGUCGUGUUCAAACUUAGGAAGGUUCUCAACCCCAAGAGUGUGAUCAAACCAACAUCACUAGCUAAAGAUUAUUUUGAGAAUAACAUCUAUCGAAUCAAUUUCAGACGAAAGACCUUGGUAAACUCCUAUAUUUUUUGGGUAUUGAGGUAAUUCAAUCUAAAGAUUAUAUGGUAAUUUCUCCGGGAAAAUAUGCUAUGGAUACUUUUGAAGAAACAAGUUUGUAGAUAAUGCACUCAUAGAAAGUAAGUCACUUUAACUUGUUGGUAUCAUCCAAAGGUAACUAGAAAUACUAUGUUUGGUUUGGUAGGACUUUCUAACUGUAUGUUGUUCUUUUUCCUUUUUCAAAUACUUCCCAUAAAGGUCAAUGUCACUCUUUUAUGCUUAUAACAUCAUGUGUUGUUAUAAUUUUGUAUUUUUGUUUACUCUAAAAUGUUACUCUUUUUAUUUCCCAGGAUUAUUUUGAAGUGAUAACUAACUUGUUCGUCGGAGUGUUUGUAGGAAGGUAUGUACGCUCUUGUCAUGAAUAGAUCAAAAUGAGUCUUGAGGUCAUUACAGGUAAUGUUCUUCUAUUGCUUCUUUUCAUUUGGUUUUUACAAUAAAUGCAAAGUGAUUGUUUUGUUACAAGUAGUAAAUACUGCACAAAUCCAUAACAAAUAUUGAGCAGUUUCUCGCAUUUUCUUUUUUAUAUUAUACUGGUAAGGGUUGUAUUGUGUUUUGAUUUCACUGUUUCUUUUGGUCAUAUUUGAUAGGGAGAGCCAGCCGUUGAGGUUACAAAUGAAGGUGUUGAUGCUGCAGGGCAUACAAUUGGUACAUCUUUGGAGGUCGUGUUCAAACUUAGGAAGGUUCUCAACCCCAAGAGUGUGAUCAAACCAACAUCACUAGCUAAAGAUUAUUUUGAGAAUAACAUCUAUCGAAUCAAUUUCAGACGAAAGACCUUGGUAAACUCCUAUAUUUUUUGGGUAUUGAGGUAAUUCAAUCUAAAGAUGAUAUGGUAAUUUCUCCGGGGAAAUAUGCUAUGGAUACUUUUGAAGAAACAAGUUUGUAGAUAAUGCACUCAUAGAAAGUAAGUCACUUUAACUUGUUGGUAUCAUCCAAAGGUAACUAGAAAUACUAUGUUUGGUUUGG
Long non-coding RNA from Lathyrus oleraceus (garden pea), 1535 nucleotides. RefSeq lists it as uncharacterized. The transcript is spliced from 3 exons. Lineage: Eukaryota; Viridiplantae; Streptophyta; Magnoliopsida; Fabales; Fabaceae. The record is from RefSeq and is a predicted model, not a curated record.